UGUUCACGCAGCCGGGGCAGGUGCUUCUUGUGUGGCCAGGAGGGCCACUUCCAGUCAGACUUCCCGAGGAGUCCAUUGCCAGCGCCAUCUUCGGCAUCUGCACCAGCAUCGCCAGGUCCCAGCCAGGGGACAUCUUCUGCGCAUUACCAGGCAGGACGGCCGCCAGUUCAGCGGCAGGCGGAGGGGUCACGACAGGCCCCGAGCGGGCGCAUGUACGCGGCCCAGACUGAGGAGGCGGCAGCAGCCGAGAAUGUGGUUCCAGGUAUCAUUUUACUUCAUGGUA
Molecule: long non-coding RNA, 283 nt
Filed under: Ananas comosus (pineapple)
Lineage: Eukaryota; Viridiplantae; Streptophyta; Magnoliopsida; Poales; Bromeliaceae
Description: long non-coding RNA (ACOM_LNC015115)
Source: RNAcentral